Molecule: ribosomal RNA, 460 nt
Filed under: uncultured bacterium
Lineage: Bacteria
Description: partial 16S ribosomal RNA
Rfam family: Bacterial small subunit ribosomal RNA
Source: RNAcentral
CCUACGGGAGGCAGCAGUGAGGAAUAUUGGUCAAUGGACGAGAGUCUGAACCAGCCAAGUCGCGUGAAGGAUGACUGCCCUCUGGGUUGUAAACUUCUUUUAUAUGGGAAUAAAAUGUUCCACGUGUGGGAUUUUGUAUGUACCAUAUGAAUACGGAUCGGCUAAAUCCGUGCCAGCAGCCGCGGUAAUACGGAGGAUCCGAGCGUUAUCCGGAUUUAUUGGGUUUUAAGGGAGCGUAGGUGGAUUGUUAAGUCAGUUGUGAAAGGUUGCGGCGCAACCGUAAAAUUGCAGUUGAAACUGGCAGUCUUGAGUACAGUAGAGGUGGGCGGAAUUCGGGGUGUAGCGGUGAAAUGCUUAGAUAUCACGAAGAACGCCGAUUGCGAAGGCAGCUCACUGGACUGCAACUGACACUGAGGCUCGAAAGUGUGGGUAUCAAACAGGAUUAGAUACCCCAGUAGUC